RNAcentral lists this ribosomal RNA (301 nucleotides) under uncultured bacterium. Its description in RNAcentral is "partial 16S ribosomal RNA". It matches the Rfam family "Bacterial small subunit ribosomal RNA", at positions 509 to 809 of the family's 1533-position model. The record is from RNAcentral.
CAGUCGCCGCGGUAAUGCGUAGGUGGCGAGCGUUGUCCGGAAUUAUUGGGCGCAAAGGGAGCGCAGGCGGACAUAUAAGUCCAUCUUAAAAGUGCGGGGCUCAACCCCGUGAGGGGAUGGAAACUGUAUGCCUUGAGUGUAGGAGAGGAAAGCGGAAUCCCCAGUAUAGCGGUGAAAUGCGUAGAUAUUGGGAGGAACACCAGUGGCGAAGGCGGCUUUCUGGACUGCAACUGACGCUGAGGCUCGAAAGCCAGGGGAGCGAACGGGAUUAGAUACCCCUGUAGUCCCUGUCUCUUAUACA